CCUACGGGAGGCAGCAGUGGGGAAUAUUGCACAAUGGGGGAAACCCUGAUGCAGCGACGCCGCGUGAGUGAAGAAGUAAUUCGGUAUGUAAAGCUCUAUCAGCAGGGAAGAAAAUGACGGUACCUGAGUAAGAAGCCCCUGCUAACUACGUGCCAGCAGCCGCGGUAAUACGUAGGGGGCAAGCGUUAUCCGGAUUUACUGGGUGUAAAGGGAGCGUAGACGGCAGUGCAAGUCUGGAGUGAAAGGCGGGGGCUCAACCCGUGGACUGCUCUGGAAACUGUACGGCUGGAGUGCAGGAGAGGUAAGUGGAAUGCGUGGUGUAGCGGUGAAAUGCGUAGAUAUUAGGCGGAACACCAGUGGCGAAGGCGGCUUACUGGACCGUAACUGACGUUGAGGCUCGAAAGCGUGGGGAGCAAACAGGAUUAGAUACCCUUGUAGUC
This 440-nucleotide ribosomal RNA is filed under the name uncultured bacterium. Its description in RNAcentral is "partial 16S ribosomal RNA". It matches the Rfam family "Bacterial small subunit ribosomal RNA", at positions 338 to 795 of the family's 1533-position model. The record is from RNAcentral.